Long non-coding RNA from Suricata suricatta (meerkat), 895 nucleotides. RefSeq lists it as uncharacterized. The transcript is spliced from 3 exons. The record is from RefSeq and is a predicted model, not a curated record. Lineage: Eukaryota; Metazoa; Chordata; Mammalia; Carnivora; Herpestidae.
GGGCCCAAGGGAGAAUGAGCCCGCUGAGGGCUCUCAGUCCUGGGCAAGGUCUCCCCUCUCCAGGGAUUAUGCUAACAAAAGCAGCCCCUUGGAAAAACUGGCCGGGUACCUUGCCUGCAGGGUUCCCGCAGCCUUACCAGUGAGUGAGGAAGGUCACCUUCUGGCAGCACAGGAACUGCCCAGACCCGGGGGGUCUCAAGAAGAGGAACUCCUCCGAACCUACAGCAUCUGGCUACAGCUCUCCAAACGAACAUUUUCAGUGUUUUCUCCUGCCUUCUAACUUGGAAUCAUGGAGAACUGAAACUGGCCUUUGCCCAAAGCCUGAUCAGCUAAGGUGGGAUGUGACAAAAGUGAGAGAAAUCACCACAAGGGCCGGACAGUCUUCGGACCUGUUGCCAUGUGGGCCACGGCGAUCACCAGAGACCCUCAGACUGCAAACAAGUAAAAUCCAUCCGCUUACUACCGGCUGCCCUCAGUCCAUCUGACGUGUGUCCAGUCUGGCGUCUAGAAAUCCGGCCUGGCUACCUUCAGCCUCAGAAACUGGGAUCUACUCCAACCAUUAACCUCUUUUAUUUUCUCUUGUUUCCACGAAAAUGUUUCUUAAAUACCCAAGUGCUUGGACGUUACAGGGCUAACUUGGGUAACCCACCUGCAUCACUGCCUCCUGAAAUAAGCCCCAAACCUCUAAGUGAACUGACCUGUCCUCAGGACUAAGAGACAGCCUGUUCCAUGUCUCCUCGAGCCAGUCAGCUCAGGACAGGUUUAAACCUACGUGUACCAAGCGGCCUCCAACAAUUUAAAUGUAUCAUUCCAUUUGCAGCUCCGUGGAUGGAACUAGAGGGUAUCGUGCUAAGCGAAAUUAGUCAGAGGAAGACAAAUAUAUGACUUUACUCAG